CCUACGGGCGGCAGCAGUGGGGAAUAUUGCACAAUGGGCGCAAGCCUGAUGCAGCCCUGCCGCGUGUGUGAAGAAGGCCUUCGGGUUGUACAGCACUUUCAGCGGGGAGGAAGGCGGUGAGGUUAAUAACCUCAUCGAUUGACGUUACCCGCAGAAGAAGCACCGGCUAACUCCGUGCCAGCAGCCGCGGUAAUACGGAGGGUGCAAGCGUUAAUCGGAAUUACUGGGCGUAAAGCGCACGCAGGCGGUCUGUCAAGUCGGAUGUGAAAUCCCCGGGCUCAACCUGGGAACUGCAUUCGAAACUGGCAGGCUAGGGUCUUGUAGAGGGGGGUAGGAUUCCAGGUGUAGCGGUGAAAUGCGUAGAGAUCUGGAGGAAUACCGGUGGCGAAGGCGGCCCCCUGGACAAAGACUGACGCUCAGGUGCGAAAGCGUGGGGAGCAAACAGGAUUAGAUACCCCUGUAGUC
RNAcentral lists this ribosomal RNA (465 nucleotides) under uncultured Klebsiella sp. Its description in RNAcentral is "bacterial SSU rRNA". It matches the Rfam family "Bacterial small subunit ribosomal RNA", at positions 338 to 795 of the family's 1533-position model. Lineage: Bacteria; Pseudomonadati; Pseudomonadota; Gammaproteobacteria; Enterobacterales; Enterobacteriaceae. The record is from RNAcentral.